This 112-nucleotide non-coding RNA is filed under the name Palpitomonas bilix. The record is from RNAcentral.
CCAUUCACCGUGUGCUGCAAGCACGAACGCGUGAACGCGUGAACCGACCAACGUGCAAAUUGCUAAUUAAUGCAGCCGACUGCUUUUCUGUGUUCUGUAUGCUGUAGUUGUA